Molecule: ribosomal RNA, 253 nt
Filed under: uncultured bacterium
Lineage: Bacteria
Description: partial 16S ribosomal RNA
Rfam family: Bacterial small subunit ribosomal RNA
Source: RNAcentral
UACGUAGGGUGCAAGCGUUGUCCGGAAUUAUUGGGCGUAAAGAGCUCGUAGGCGGUCUGUUGCGUCGGCUGUGAAAACCCGGGGCUCAACCCCGGGCCUGCAGCCGAUACGGGCAGACUAGAGUUCGGCAGGGGAGACUGGAAUUCCUGGUGUAGCGGUGAAAUGCGUAGAUAUCAGGAGGAAUACCUAUGGCGAAGGCGGCUCUCUGGGACGGUACUGACGCUGAGACGCGAAAGCGUGGGGAGCGAACAGG